RNAcentral lists this ribosomal RNA (2967 nucleotides) under Triticum aestivum (bread wheat). RNAcentral's name for it is "partial small subunit ribosomal RNA". Lineage: Eukaryota; Viridiplantae; Streptophyta; Magnoliopsida; Poales; Poaceae. The record is from RNAcentral.
AUGGAGUUCACCGCAAUCACGGCCUCCACGGCGGCUGGUGGCCGCCCUUGGCCGCCGCCGCCGCCGCCGCUGCCAGCUGAUCAUCAGGCUGAGGAAGCCGCGGCGGCGGAGGUGGAGAAGGAGUGCAUGUUCGACAAGGUGGUCACGCCGAGCGACACGGGCAAGCUGAACCGGCUGGUGAUACCGAAGCAGCACGCGGAGAAGUACUUCCCGCUGGACGCCUCCUCCAACGACAACGGCCUCCUGCUAGACUUCGAGGACAGCGCAGGGAAGCCAUGGCGCUUCCGCUACUCCUACUGGAACAGCAGCCAGAGCUACGUGAUGACCAAGGGGUGGAGCCGCUUCGUCAAGGAGACGCGCCUCGAGGCCGGCGACAUCGUCUCGUUCAAACGCGGAGUCGGGGAGGCCGCCAGGGGGAGGUUCUUCAUCGACUGGCGGCGCCGCCGCGGCCCCGACGUGGUCCUGCCGCCCCCGCACCACCGAGGCUUCAACCUCCUCUCCGUCGGGAGCGAUGGGUUCGCAUGUCCCGACGUAAACCUAGAAGGUGAUAGUGUAGAGGAGAUACUAGAUAAGGCAUAUAUUACGAAGAUAGGGCCAUGGGGUGGAAACAGAGGCAACUUUAAUGACAUCAAGGUGUCACCUCUGCGUCUGAAUAGUAUCACAAUCCGUAGUGGAGAGGUCAUAUAUUCACUUGCAUUUUCGUACAGCGAUAACUAUGGAAAGCAGCACCAUGCAGGUCCAUGGGGGGGUUGUAAAGACUUCUCUUAUGGCAGCUUCGAUACGAUUCAACUAGGACCCUCGGAGUUCCUGACUAAAGUUUCUGGAACAAUUGCCUUCUCUGCCCAAUAUUCUUCCAACGUUAUAACAUCUGUCAUGUUUAUCACCACUGCUCGUCGGUAUGGACCCUUUGGAGGAGGAGUAGGAAUUCCUUUUCAGAGUCCAGUGAUGAGCAAUGGCAGCAUCGUUGGCUUCUUCGCCCAUGCUGAGUGGGUGGUUGAGUCAAUUGGUCUUUAUGUGAACUCUGAGAGUAAACUCUGGGAACCAAUGAAAGGACAGGACUCGGUUACAAAAAUUGGGCCAUGGGGUGGUGAUUCAGGGAGGCCUAAUGACGUGAAUGUGUUACCUCGUCGUCUGUUAAGUGUGGUAGUUCGUAAUAGUACUGUAAUCAGUUCACUUACGUUUACAUACAUUGACUGGGAUGGACAACCGCAGACCGCUGGUCCAUGGGGUGGGCUGGGUGAGUCAUUCGACGGGAAAGUUGACACGAUUAUUCUUGGGCGGUCAGAGUUUUUGACCGAAGUUUCUGGAACACUUGGUUGGAACUCCGGAUAUUCAGAUGUUGUAACAUCACUUUACUUUGUCACCAACACUGGUGGCUAUGGACCAUACGGAAAAGGAGGAGGAACUCGUUUCCGAAGUUCACAUAGCAAUGGUAGUAUAGUUGGCUUCUUUGUCAAUGCUGCAGACGUGAUUGACGCAAUUGGUGUCUAUUUUAGCCCAGAGAGGGAGACAUGCAAAGAGAAGGAGGAAGGAGGCUUUGGGAUUUCACGUAGUAUGGCUUACAGAGAAAGGGUGGAGAUAGAAUCAGCAUCAAAUGACCUGGAGCAUAUAGUACUUGACCAAAGCGCGGAGCCGACUAAUCUGCCGUUAGCACUUUUAAAAGACAUCACUGAGGAUUUCAAUGAUAAGCGACAAAUUGGCCGUGGUGGAUUCGGAAUCGUUUACAAGGGCGAUCUUCAAAACAGGAGUGUUGCUGUUAAAAGGAUUUUAAGCUGCCAUACAUUCAACGAUGAAGCAUUUAAUCGUGAGAUUACUUUUCUAAUCAGUGUAAAACACAAAAAUAUAGUACGGCUUCUGGGCUACUGUGCUAAUACAGAGAAUAAAGCGAUGAAACAUUCAGAAUCAGGAGAACCUUGGAAGUAUGUUUUUGCCGAAAUGAGGGAAAGAUUACUCUGUUUCGAGUAUAUAAAAAAUGGAAGCCUUGACAGAUAUCUUACUGACGAACUAAGGGGACUUGAAUGGCAUACGCGCUACCAGAUAAUUCGAGGAAUAUGUGAUGGUUUGGUUUAUCUUCACACAGAAAAGGGUAUUGUUCAUAGGGACAUGAAACCUGAGAAUAUACUGCUUGAUGAUCUUAUGAUACCAAAAAUUACAGAUUUUGGUAUAUCAAAACUCCUUGAUGGAGCAACACACGCUGUCACUAGUGACCCCACAGGAUCACGUGGAUAUUGUGCUCCGGAAUUCAUAGCUCGUGGUGAGGUGUCAACCAGGUCAGACAUAUACAGUCUGGGCGUUAUAAUCACAGAGCUCGUGACUGGAUGUAAGGAUGAACCUCAUAUUCAAAAUGUACUUAGAAGGUGGAGGUAUAGAUGGAAUGAAUCGGCGAACUAUCCACCAUUUGGAUACCAACAGGUAAGUAAAUGCAUUGAAAUAGCGUUAAAGUGCUUGUCAGACUCCCCAAAGAAGAGGCCUAAAAUAUCGGAUAUAGUCAGUAUGCUUAAUACAAUGGAAAGUACGAAGGAGCACAUUACCAAUGUUGGUAACUCUCCAGCUGGCCAGAUAAGCGCUUACCCGUGGGAGCUACUUGAGUUUGACUUGCUCGAGCUGAAUUUCCCGUUCGAGAUAAACAAGCAGAUACCAUGCUCACUUCAGCUAACUAACGUAACUGAUGAUUACGUUGCCUUCGAUAUUGAAAUGAUGGGCAUACUACGGUAUUGCAUUGAACCGGAGAAACGUGUUGUGCCACCACGAUCAAAGUGCAAUGUCAUGGUAACACUGCAACCACAUGAGAGGGUACCGCAUGCUAUGGUGUGCAAGGACGAGUUGUUCAUUUUGCGGUGUGCCGCCGUGAGUGAGGGUCUCACGGCCGAGGAUAUCAUUGAAGACAUGUUAAAUAAGAAGUCGGGUAAAGAAGAAGCCGAUAAGGUGACGUUGAAGGUUGUUAUUUUGCCCAUCACCGUCGACUAA